This 253-nucleotide ribosomal RNA is filed under the name uncultured bacterium. RNAcentral's name for it is "partial 16S ribosomal RNA". It matches the Rfam family "Bacterial small subunit ribosomal RNA", at positions 524 to 776 of the family's 1533-position model. The record is from RNAcentral.
UACGAAGGGGGCUAGCGUUGCUCGGAAUCACUGGGCGUAAAGGGCGCGUAGGUGGCGCGACAAGUCAGUGGUGAAAGCUCGAUGCUUAACAUCGAGUCGGCCACUGAUACUGUUGGGCUUGAGCACUGUAGAGGCUAAUGGAAUUCCGGGUGUAGCGGUGGAAUGCGUAGAGAUCCGGAAGAACACCGGUGGCGAAGGCGGUUAGCUGGGCAGUUGCUGACACUGAGGCGCGACAGCGUGGGGAGCAAACAGG